Molecule: ribosomal RNA, 497 nt
Filed under: uncultured bacterium
Lineage: Bacteria
Description: partial 16S ribosomal RNA
Rfam family: Bacterial small subunit ribosomal RNA
Source: RNAcentral
GAUGAACGCUGGCGGCGUGCCUAAUACAUGCAAGUCGAGCGAACGGACGAGAAGCUUGCUUUUCUGAUGUUAGCGGCGGACGGGUGAGUAACACGUGGAUAACCUACCUAUAAGACUGGGAUAACUUCGGGAAACCGGAGCUAAUACCGGAUAAUAUUUUGAACCGCAUGGUUCAAUAGUGAAAGACGGUCUUGCUGUCACUUAUAGAUGGAUCCGCGCUGCAUUAGCUAGUUGGUAAGGUAACGGCUUACCAAGGCAACGAUGCAUAGCCGACCUGAGAGGGUGAUCGGCCACACUGGAACUGAGACACGGUCCAGACUCCUACGGGAGGCAGCAGUAGGGAAUCUUCCGCAAUGGGCGAAAGCCUGACGGAGCAACGCCGCGUGAGUGAUGAAGGUCUUCGGAUCGUAAAACUCUGUUAUUAGGGAAGAACAAAUGUGUAAGUAACUGUGCACGUCUUGACGGUACCUAAUCAGAAAGCCACGGCUAACUACGUG